This 762-nucleotide long non-coding RNA is filed under the name Triticum aestivum (bread wheat). Its description in RNAcentral is "long non-coding RNA (TAES_LNC011284)". The record is from RNAcentral. Lineage: Eukaryota; Viridiplantae; Streptophyta; Magnoliopsida; Poales; Poaceae.
GCCAGAUCCGGCCGGGGAGCCGCCGUAGAGCCUCCACGUCGUCGGAGCAGAGCAGCCCGAGGUGGGUGCCGAUCUCGUCCCGCAGAUCACCGGCGGGGCCACGACCACCUCAUUCACUGUCGCGGUGGUGUUUCUCCCCGCGUCGCCGUCGUUGGUUCGCCUCACCCUCCUCACCCUGUCGGCUGCAACCGCUCCUACCCUCCACGGUGCUCCUCUUUGGCAUCCACCGCAGGCCAGUGAGCGGCCACGACCAGAAGUCAGGGAGGCCUCUAUUCCUCAUGUAUGCAAAAAUCCAGGGUAUUUGAUACAGAUGCUGUAAUAUUCUCUGGUUCUUCGAACUUGUGCUAAAUAUUCUCAUGCCACUUUUGUAGGAACCGGGAUGCGGUUCUGGCUUGUGGGCACAUGAGAGCCUGACGAUUUGAACACUAGCCUGUUUUCUUCUGUAGGAAAGUGGCAUCCUUGACCUGAUGGAAAGUUGGAGACAGACAUCAAAUUGGCUGCGGAUCAUUCUGAAUGCUGGAUUUCAUGCCAUCACUCUGACGAAAGCAUCUGUGCAUCUGUUCUGUUCUGUAUGUUGCCAGCUUGGCCUGCUGCUAUAAAUAUAGCACCAAAUCUACCAGGUUCAAACCAUUCAUUGCCUCAUUAGAAGCCUUCCAGUGUUCAUUGUCGCAAGGUAACCGACUCUUUUGGCUUUCUGCAAGUGUUUUUAUUUUCUCUACUCAUAUGUUCGCUGGAGCCAGGAUAUGUUCAGGCUAAUCAUGC